UACGUAGGGCGCAAGCGUUAUCCGGAAUUAUUGGGCGUAAAGAGCUCGUAGGCGGUUUGUCGCGUCUGCUGUGAAAGACCGGGGCUCAACUCCGGUUCUGCAGUGGGUACGGGCAGACUAGAGUGAUGUAGGGGAGACUGGAAUUCCUGGUGUAGCGGUGAAAUGCGCAGAUAUCAGGAGGAACACCGAUGGCGAAGGCAGGUCUCUGGGCAUUAACUGACGCUGAGGAGCGAAAGCAUGGGGAGCGAACAGGAUUAGAAACCCCCGUAGUCC
RNAcentral lists this ribosomal RNA (273 nucleotides) under uncultured bacterium. Its description in RNAcentral is "partial 16S ribosomal RNA". It matches the Rfam family "Bacterial small subunit ribosomal RNA", at positions 524 to 796 of the family's 1533-position model. The record is from RNAcentral.